Molecule: ribosomal RNA, 254 nt
Filed under: uncultured bacterium
Lineage: Bacteria
Description: partial 16S ribosomal RNA
Rfam family: Bacterial small subunit ribosomal RNA
Source: RNAcentral
UACGUAGGGCGCAAGCGUUAUCCGGAAUUAUUGGGCGUAAAGAGCUCGUAGGCGGUUUGUCGCGUCUGCCGUGAAAGUCCGGGGCUCAACUCCGGAUCUGCGGUGGGUACGGGCAGACUAGAGUGCAGUAGGGGGAGACUGGAAUUCCUGGUGUAGCGGUGAAAUGCGCAGAUAUCAGGAGGAACACCGAUGGCGAAGGCAGGUCUCUGGGCUGUAACUGACGCUGAGGAGCGAAAGCAUGGGGAGCGAACAGG